CCUACGGGAGGCAGCAGUGAGGAAUAUUGCUCAAUGGGCGCGAGCCUGAACCAGCCAAGUAGCGUGAAGGAUGACUGCCCUCCGGGUUGUAAACUUCUUUUAUAAAGGAAUAAAGUGUAGCAUGUGUGCCUUUUUGUAUGUACUUUAUGCAUAAGAGUCGCCUAACUCCGUGCCAGCAGCCGCGGUAAUACGGAGGGUCCGAGCGUUAUCCGGAUUUAUUGGGUUUAACGUGAGCGUAGGUGGGUUGUUAAGUCAGUUGUGAAAGUUUGCGGCUCAACCGUAAAAUUGCACUUGAUACUGGCAGUCUUGAGUACAGUAGAGGUAGGCGGAAUUCGUGGUGUAGCGGUGAAAUGCUUAGAUAUCACGAAGAACUCCGAUGGCGAAGGCAGCUUACUAAAC
RNAcentral lists this ribosomal RNA (399 nucleotides) under uncultured bacterium. RNAcentral's name for it is "partial 16S ribosomal RNA". It matches the Rfam family "Bacterial small subunit ribosomal RNA", at positions 338 to 734 of the family's 1533-position model. The record is from RNAcentral.